Long non-coding RNA from Amphimedon queenslandica, 1281 nucleotides. RefSeq lists it as uncharacterized. The record is from RefSeq and is a predicted model, not a curated record. NCBI's taxonomy places the organism in Eukaryota, Metazoa, Porifera, Demospongiae, Haplosclerida, Niphatidae. The transcript is spliced from 4 exons.
CUGACUAUUUUGAAAAUAUUGUUCUCAAAUUUAAUUUCAAUGUGACUGUAAUGAAUGUUACUGGGAACUGUGCGCAUCCUGAAGGUAUAGUGACGUUAAAUAUAAGUUCAAGUCACAAUACACAACCAGAGCCAGCCCUAGUCUCCUACAAUAUUUCAGCUGCAAGUAAGCAGCAGUCUGUUGAUUUUGUCAUAAAAGAUAAAAAUCAAAACCUACGGUUUACCUGGACUGAUACUAGUGCAUGCUGUCCUGUGACAAUAAUCAAUGGGACUGUCAGGUCAGAUACAGAAGAGGAAACAUUAAUAAUUUGCAAUAAAAUGUCAUGGCAAUCGUCAAGUACUUCAGUUAAGUUUCAAAAGAAUGGCAAUAAAUUAGCAUCAUAUCCAGUAGAUCAUAGUGGCACUGGAAAUAAAGGUUGUAGAAGUGUCAGUGUAAAUACAGGUCUACCUACAUGCAUGAUUGCUACUUCAAUAUCACCAUCUUUGACUGAAUAUUCCUCUACUAUCAAUGUAGAUCUAUAUGCAUCUCUACCUAAUACUUCAGUAUCAUUACCUGAAUCUUCAGUGUCAAUGUACGCAGCAUCAUCUUCAAUUAGUACAGUGUCAAUGCAUACAGUAUCAUUACCUGAAUCUUCAAUUAGUGCAGAGUCAAUGCAUACAGUAUCGUUACCUGAAUCUUCAAUAAGCACAGUGUCAAUGCAUACAGUAUCAUUACCUGAAUCUUCAAUUAGUACAGUGUCAAUGCAUACAGUAUCAUUACCUGAAUCUUCAAUUAGUACAGUGUCAAUGCAUACAGUAUCAUUACCCCUGAAUCUUCAAUAAGCACAGUGUCAAUGCAUACAGUAUCGUUACCUGAAUCUUCAAUAAGCACAGUGUCAAUGCCUGCUGCUAUACCUACAAUACCAAUGCGUACUUCAAAAUCAUCCUCUAAAUCUAGAUCUGCAACUCAAGCCCCCAUGUUUAGUGUAUUAUCAAUGUCUACAACUUCAUUUUUGCCAACAGUUUCCUCUCUUACUUAUCCCUCUCCCUCUUCUCCUGUGUACAUAUAUUGUUCAAAAAUUGAUCAGUGGGAAGCCACUGAACCUGGAGUUAGGGCAAAUGGUACUUGUCAUAAGGGAACAUUUAAUGCUACAAGGUAUUGUGAUCAUAAUGGAAGUUGGGGUCAAAUUAACUGCAGUGCUAGUAAGCAAUUUAGAGAAAUAAUGUCAAAGAUUACUAUAUCGCAUUAUGAUGCUCUGGAAUCACUGUCACAACAACUGAAUGACUUUCCAGUAGCUCAAAG